AAAUCUGAAGACGUGAUGUGGACUGAAAAUAAGUAGGGAAGCACGUGAGCUGACUGUCAAGAAAAGCCGCUAUUGUUUGCAGGAUACCCGUACCGUAAACCGACACAGGUGGAUGAGGAGAGAAUCCUAAGGCCGACGGGAGAAGCAUUGUUAAGGAACUCGGCAAAAUGACUCCGUAACUUCGGGAGAAGGAGUGCCAGUAAGAUGGCCGCAGAGAAUUGGCCCAAGCAACUGUUUAGCAAAAACACAGGUCUAUGCAAAACCGAAAGGUGAGGUAUAUGGGCUGACGCCUGCCCGGUGCUGGAAGGUUAAGGGGAGAGGUUAGCGCAAGCGAGGCUUUGAACUUAAGCCCCAGUAAACGGCGGCCGUAACUAUAACGGUCCUAAGGUAGCGAAAUUCCUUGUCGGGUAAGUUCCGACCCGCACGAAAGGCGUAAUGAUUUGGGCACUGUCUCAACAAUGCACCCGGUGAAAUUGAAAUACCAGUGAAGAUGCUGGUUACCUGCGCCAGGACGGAAAGACCCCAUGGAGCUUUACUCCAGCUUGAUACUGGGAUUCGGUAUUGCAUGUACAGGAUAGGUGGGAGGCUAGGAAAUGGUAACGCCAGUUGCCAUGGAGCCAAUGUUGGGAUACCACCCUUGCAGUACUGGGUUUCUAACCAGCAGCCGUGAUCCGGCUGGGGGACAAUGUCAGGUGGGGAGUUUGACUGGGGCGGUCGCCUCCGAAAGGGUAUCGGAGGCGCUCAAAGGUUCCCUCAGAAUGGUUGGAAACCAUUCGAAGAGUGCAAAGGCAGAAGGGAGCUUGACUGCGACACCGACGGGUGGAGCAGGUACGAAAGUAGGACUUAGUGAUCCGGUGGUAUAAAGUGGGAUUGCCAUCGCUCAACGGAUAAAAGCUACCCUGGGAUAACAGGCUUAUCACUCCCAAGAGUUCACAUCGACGGAGUGGUUUGGCACCUCGAUGUCGGCUCAUCGCAUCCUGGGGCUGAAGUAGGUCCCAAGGGUUGGGCUGUUCGCCCAUUAAAGCGGUACGCGAGCUGGGUUCAGAACGUCGUGAGACAGUUCGGUCCCCAUCCGGCGUGGGCGUAAGAUAUUUGAGAGGAGCUGUCCUUAGUACGAGAGGACCGGGAUGGACUGGCCGCUGGUGUAUCUGUUGUCUUACCAAAGGCAUAGCAGAGUAGCCAAGCCGGGAAGGGAUAAACGCUGAAGGCAUCUAAGCGUGAAGCCCCCCUCAAGAUGAGAUAUCUCAUAACGUCAAGUUAGUAAGACCCCUUGAAGACGACGAGGUAGAUAGGGCAGAGGUGGAAGUGUGGUAACACAUGGAGCUGACUGUUACUAAUAGGUCGAGGGCAUAACU
RNAcentral lists this ribosomal RNA (1355 nucleotides) under metagenome. RNAcentral describes it as "bacterial LSU rRNA". It matches the Rfam family "Bacterial large subunit ribosomal RNA", at positions 1551 to 2925 of the family's 2925-position model. The record is from RNAcentral.